This 76-nucleotide transfer RNA is filed under the name Buchnera aphidicola. RNAcentral's name for it is "tRNA-Ala". It matches the Rfam family "tRNA". From Rfam's summary of the family: Transfer RNA (tRNA) molecules are approximately 80 nucleotides in length. Their secondary structure includes four short double-helical elements and three loops (D, anti-codon, and T loops). The record is from RNAcentral. RNAcentral also lists the same sequence under 1226 other names. Lineage: Bacteria; Pseudomonadati; Pseudomonadota; Gammaproteobacteria; Enterobacterales; Erwiniaceae.
GGGGCUAUAGCUCAGCUGGGAGAGCGCCUGCCUUGCACGCAGGAGGUCAGCGGUUCGAUCCCGCUUAGCUCCACCA